UACGGAGGGUGCAAGCGUUAAUCGGAAUUACUGGGCGUAAAGCGCACGCAGGCGGUUUGUUAAGUCAGUUGUGAAAUCUCCGGGCUCAACCUGGGAACUGCAUCUGAUACUGGCAAGCUUGAGUCUGGUAGAGGGGGGUAGAAUUCCAGGUGUAGCGGUGAAAUGCGUAGAGAUCUGGAGGAAUACCGGUGGCGAAGGCGGCCCCCUGGAAGAAGACUGACGCUCAGGUGCGAAAGCUUGGGGAGCAAACAGG
RNAcentral lists this ribosomal RNA (253 nucleotides) under uncultured bacterium. RNAcentral's name for it is "partial 16S ribosomal RNA". It matches the Rfam family "Bacterial small subunit ribosomal RNA", at positions 524 to 776 of the family's 1533-position model. The record is from RNAcentral.